GGUAAGGUCAAAGUUGAUUUUGCCCAUGUGUGUCGCUGUUGCUGCCUGCAGUGAUUGCUAUCUAGCUUGUAAAGGGUUUCUUGCAUUUUUGUUUCAGAUUGUACAGCUGUCGUAAAUGGAUUAACUGCCAAAGUGGUGCUAUAAGCAAGACGUGUAUUUAACGAUUUUUUGUGGAUCACACGUUGGCUUUACAAGUGUGCAGGGAUCCGGUGGAUGAUGAGUGAAGAAGAGUCAGGAAAUAUGCUGAUCAAGCCACUGAAACGAGUGGAGGAAGGAAAUGGAGAGUCGGGUGAGAAUGGACACAUCAGAAAGAAGCUGAAGUCUGUAGAACCGACUGGCAAUGAGAGGAAACACCCCAAAAGAAAAGUGGUCCUGCUUUUGGCAUAUUCAGGCAAAGGUUACUACGGUAUGCAGAGAAAUGCUGGAUCCUCCCAGUUCAAAACCAUUGAGGAUGAGCUGGUCACAGCACUGAUUAAGUCUGGGUGCAUCCCAGACAACCAUGGAGAUGACAUGAAAAAAAUGUCGUUCCAAAGAUGUGCGAGAACAGACAAGGGUGUUUCUGCAGCAGGUCAAGUGGUCUCUCUAAAACUGUGGAUGAUUGAAGACGUAAUGGAAAAGAUCAACUCCAAUCUUCCACCACAGAUCAGAGUGCUGGGUCUGAAACGAGUGACUGGGGGCUUCAAUUCUAAAAACAGCUGUGAUGCCCGCACAUAUUCCUACAUGCUCCCCACUGUGGCCUUCUCCCCAAAGGACUAUUACACCAAGAAUUACGCUGCGUUCCGCCUUGAGCCAGAGACACUGCAGAGAGUAAACCAGCUGUUUGGCAGCUACAAGGGCACCCAUAACUUUCACAACUUCACCUCCCAGAAGGCCGCAUGGGACCCCAGCGCCCGCCGCUACAUCACAGAGAUGUCCUGUGGCGAGCCCUUUGUUCGUGGCGGCGCCGAGUUUGCAGAGAUUACUGUGCGUGGCCAGAGCUUCAUGAUGCAUCAGAUCCGGAAGAUGAUCGGCCUGGUGAUAGCUGUGGUGAAGGGCUAUUCGGGGGACGAAGUGUUAAAGCGAAGCUGGGGUGAGGAGAAAGUGGACGUGCCCAAAGCCCCGGGCUGGGCCUGGUGCUGGAGAAGGUGCACUUUGACAGGUACAACAAGCGGUUUGGUGGGGACGGCCUCCAUGAGUGCCUGGAGUGGACUGAAGAGGAGCAGGCCAUCUUGGCUUUCAAGGAGGAGCACAUCUACCCCAGCAUUGUGGAGACAGAGUGCCAGGAAGGGUCCAUGGCUAGCUGGAUGGCCACACUGCCCAUACAUGACUUUGAGGCAACUGCAACAGGAGCUCAGGAUAAGGAUAGGGAGCAGGAUGAUGAGGAGGGUAAUAGAUCAGAUUCUGCACUUUGAAGUCUCUGGCAAGUGGAAAGACACCUUUUGCUUUGCUGUAUCUCAAGAAUGAGCUUUUGUUUUGCUAUGGAAAUGCAUCGUCAGUAAUGCCACUGAUUUACUCAAUAAUGAAGACAUUUUAAUAAACAUUUUUGUUAUUUUUAAA
Molecule: non-coding RNA, 1536 nt
Organism: Salmo salar (Atlantic salmon)
Lineage: Eukaryota; Metazoa; Chordata; Actinopteri; Salmoniformes; Salmonidae
Source: RefSeq, a predicted model, not a curated record